AUGGAUUGUGAGCUGUAAGUAUCAUGUAAUAUUAAUACACUUGGCAUUAUUUGAAAAAUAAGAUAAAACUGAUUGCUAUUAAUCGUGUCAGUUUUUACAUGUACUUUAGCUUCAAAUUCAUAGUUGAUCCAAAUUUUUCAUCCGUAUUUCGAUUCUCCGAUUUUCUUUGAUGCAGGAACUGUUAGAAGAUGAAGUGUCGGCGAAGAACACUUAAGGAGUAGUUGAAAUUCAAGUUGGAGAAGAUCAAUGCAAAACUGAAAGAUCUGCAGUAGAAUAAUGCGGACAUCCUAAAAGACAAUAAAAGAAUGGUUGAGAGUCCCAAAGAUGCAGAAACAAAUGCACAGAUGAAGCAGCUGCUAACAGAUUUCAAAUGAUAUGCUCUCUCAUUCUCCUAAAGAGACCUGGCAAGAGAAGUAGCUUCAGAUUUGGAUACUAUCGUAUGUGAUAGAAGUUGAUAACGAUGUCAAUGCAAAGAUUGACAAAGUGGCACUACUAAAAAAAAGACAAAAAUUGACCAUAGAAAACUGACCACAAAUUGUGGUCGGAAAAAAUCGGCCACUAGUGGUCGGAUUUUAAUUUUUUUAUUUUCUUUUCUUUUAAAAAAGUCACCACAAGUGGUAGAUUUUUUAUUUUAAAAAAUCAAAAUAAUUAUGAAAAUAAUUUUGGUAUUAAUUAUUAUUUAUUUUGUAAAUAAAAAAAAAUAAAAAAGCAAAAAAACCGACCACUAGUGGUUGUUUUUUUGAAAACAAAUAAUUAAAAAAUAUAUAAAAAACUGACCACAAGUAGUCGAUUUUUUGAUUAUUUUUUAAUUAUUUAUUUUUCAAAAAACAGACUAUUGUGGUCGGUAUUUUGGUUUCUUUAUUUUUUUUUUAAAAACCGACCACUUAUAUUUUAAAAAAUUAUAAUAAUUAAUUAAAUAAUUUUAUUAUUAUUUUUUUAUUAUUUUUGUUUUUAAAAAGCCACCACAAAUGGUCGAUUUUAUAUUUUAAACUAGUGAGAAGAAGCCCAUGCAAAGCACGGGCCCAACAUCUAUUAUAAAUUAAUAUUAUAAUAAUAAUCAUAUCAAUUAAUGUGACAUAUUUUGAAUUUUAAAAAUUAAAUAAAUUUAUUUUGUUAAGUAAUUUUUGCAUAUAUUCUUAAAAUAUAUUAAAUUAUCAAUUAUUAUGAUUUAUUAUUCAAAUAUAUAAUUUUAUUUCAAAAAUUUAAUUCACGAUCAAAAUUAAACUCUACAAAUGUAUAAAUUAAUAAAGAGCCUGAAAAUCAAAUUCGAUGGGCCUAUAUUACUGUUUUUUAGAUAACACGGGUUCAGUAUAUGUUAUAUUUUUAUCUCAAACAAUGUGAUCUAAAUAGAAUUUAGAUAAUCAUACUUUUAAUACGUUUUUAGAUAUUUUAAGUUGUUAACUAUUGUAGUUUAUAAUAUUUUUUUUGUUUUCAAAUAAUAUAUGUUACUCUCCUUGUCCAAA
Capsicum annuum is the source of this 1463-nucleotide long non-coding RNA. RefSeq lists it as uncharacterized. The record is from RefSeq and is a predicted model, not a curated record. The transcript has 3 exons. NCBI's taxonomy places the organism in Eukaryota, Viridiplantae, Streptophyta, Magnoliopsida, Solanales, Solanaceae.